UGUGGGCCGUGGUUUCAGGUGUGACCCA
Molecule: non-coding RNA, 28 nt
Filed under: Homo sapiens (human)
Lineage: Eukaryota; Metazoa; Chordata; Mammalia; Primates; Hominidae
Source: RNAcentral